This 229-nucleotide ribosomal RNA is filed under the name uncultured bacterium. Its description in RNAcentral is "partial 16S ribosomal RNA". It matches the Rfam family "Bacterial small subunit ribosomal RNA", at positions 524 to 751 of the family's 1533-position model. The record is from RNAcentral.
UACGUAGGGGGCAAGCGUUGUCCGGAUUUAUUGGGCGUAAAGAGCGUGUAGGCGGUUUUACAGGUCCGCUGUGAAAACUCGAGGCUCAACCUCGAGCUGUCGGUGGAAACCGUAAGGCUAGAGUCCGGAAGAGGAGAGUGGAAUUCCUGGUGUAGCGGUGAAAUGCGCAGAUAUCAGGAGGAACACCGAUGGCGAAGGCAGAUCUCUGGGCCGUAACUGACGCUGGAGG